This 468-nucleotide ribosomal RNA is filed under the name uncultured bacterium. RNAcentral's name for it is "partial 16S ribosomal RNA". It matches the Rfam family "Bacterial small subunit ribosomal RNA", at positions 28 to 507 of the family's 1533-position model. The record is from RNAcentral.
GACGAACGCUGGCGGCGUGCUUAACACAUGCAAGUCGAGCGGAAAGGCCCUGCACUUGUGGGGUGCUGAUGUGGCGAAAGGGGGAGUAUAACGCGAGUAACCUGUCCUUUACAGUGGGGUAACACCUGGGAACUGGGGCUAUUAUACCACAUGAACUCCUUCUACAUGGUGUCGGAGGGUAAAAGACGGCGUUUGGGGAUGCACUCGCGGUCUAUCGGCUUGUUGGUGAGGUGGUGGCGUACAAAGGCUCCGACGGGUAGCCGGCCUGAGAGGGUGACAGGCCCCAUUGGGACUCAGAUAGGGCCAAGAGUCAUACGGGAGGCAGCGGUGGGGAAUAUUGCACAAUGGGCGGAGGCAGGAUGCAGGAACGCCGCGUGCGAGAUGACGGCUGUCGGGGUGUAACCCGCUUUCGACUGUGAAGAAGCGUGAGUGACGGUAAUGGGUAAAGAAGCACCGGCUAACUACGUG